RNAcentral lists this non-coding RNA (92 nucleotides) under Mumia flava. Its description in RNAcentral is "ZTP sequence". It matches the Rfam family "ZMP/ZTP riboswitch aptamer (pfl RNA motif)". From Rfam's summary of the family: Previously known as pfl RNA. ZMP is also known as AICAR. The record is from Rfam by way of RNAcentral. Lineage: Bacteria; Bacillati; Actinomycetota; Actinomycetes; Propionibacteriales; Nocardioidaceae.
GGGAGGCGUCGCGACUGGCGUUGAGGUGGGACGACCACCAGGGAGCGACGUGGAGUAGCCAGACCGCGGGACCGUUCGCCUGGGCCCUGGGU